RNAcentral lists this ribosomal RNA (198 nucleotides) under uncultured bacterium. RNAcentral's name for it is "partial 16S ribosomal RNA". It matches the Rfam family "Bacterial small subunit ribosomal RNA", at positions 328 to 539 of the family's 1533-position model. The record is from RNAcentral.
ACGCUCGACACCUACGGGAGGCAGCAGUGGGGGAUAUUGCACAAUGGGGGAAACCCUGAUGCAGCAACGCCGCGUGAGGGAAGACGGUUUUCGGAUUGUAAACCUCUGUCAUCGGUGACGAUAAUGACGGUAGCCGAUGAGGAAGCUCCGGCUAACUACGUGCCUGCAGCCGCGGUAAUCUGAGCGGGCUGGCAAGGC